AGUUCGGUCCCUAUCUGUUGUGGGCGUUGGAGAUUUGAGGGGUCCUGACCCUAGUACGAGAGGACCGGGUUGGACGGACCGCCGGUGCACCUGUUGUGGCGCCAGCCGCACCGCAGGGUAGCCGUGUCCGGCCGGGAUAAGCGCUGAAGGCAUCUAAGUGCGAAACCCUCCCCAAGAUGAGAUCUCCUUGAAGGGUCGUCAGAGACGAUGACGUCGAUAGGCCGCAGGUGUAAAGGCGGGAACGCCAAAGCCGAGCGGUACUAAUCACCCGAAGGCUUCCGCGU
RNAcentral lists this ribosomal RNA (284 nucleotides) under Bacteroidales bacterium. Its description in RNAcentral is "partial 23S ribosomal RNA". It matches the Rfam family "Bacterial large subunit ribosomal RNA", at positions 2628 to 2925 of the family's 2925-position model. Lineage: Bacteria; Pseudomonadati; Bacteroidota; Bacteroidia; Bacteroidales. The record is from RNAcentral.